AACGAACGCUGGCGGCGUGCCUAACACAUGCAAGUCGCGCGAGAAAAGGGGGGCAACUCCCUGAGUAAAGCGGCGCACGGGUGAGUAACGCGUAGGUGACCUACCCUUGAGUCCAGGAUAACCUACCGAAAGGUGGGCUAAUACCGGAUAUGACCACGGGGAUCUCGGUCCCCGAGGUGAAAGGUGGCCUCUGUUUACAUGCUACCGCUCAUCGAUGGGCCUGCGCGCCAUUAGCAGCUGGUGGGGUAAUGGCCCACCAAGGCGAUGAUGGCUAGCUGGUCUGAGA
RNAcentral lists this ribosomal RNA (286 nucleotides) under uncultured bacterium. RNAcentral's name for it is "partial 16S ribosomal RNA". It matches the Rfam family "Bacterial small subunit ribosomal RNA", at positions 29 to 297 of the family's 1533-position model. The record is from RNAcentral.